GGCUAUGCCUCUACAGUAAUUUGGUUCUGUACAAACAACGUUUUUCACUGUUGUUCUACAGUGCAAUUUUGGUGAGUCCUCUAUUUUGUCUUUUUGUGAAGUCAAAACAGUUCGUUUGGCUGAAAUGUGAAAACCAAAUAAAAAGGAAAAGAGAAAGAAGGCAGAGAUAGAGAGCGAGAGGGCUAGAGAGUUCUGAAAUCUAGAACUCUCUCUGCCUCUCAACCUCUAUUUUUCUCUCUUUCUCAAUAAUGUCUAGAGAAUUUUUGGAAUGAGAGAGCAAGCCAUGGUGCCGAUGGCUUUUUUUGGACGUCUAUGGUGGUAUAUCUGCCGAUCUGAAUAGAGCAAAGGGGGAUGGGUAGAUCGGAGUGAGGGAAGGCUUUGAGUUGAAAGGUGUGGAAAGGACCCUCCCAAGACUUCUCAUACCCUCUUCCGUCCCUUCCAAGAUCACAGCCAAGCGUAUGAAGGUUAAGAGAAGGAAAUGGAAAAGCAGAGGACUGAUUUGUGGCUUCGGUGGUUUUCUUUUAGCUCACACGACGGACAGUUUAGCUCACUAUAUGCACUUUAUCUUUGCAUCUUAUAAGCCUUCAAAGAGAUGAAUGACAAUAUCUUCUUUGGUCUUGAAAUAUUGGUGGAAUGAAUUGCGGUUUGGGAGUAUAUGUGACAUCAAUUCAAUACACAAACAUGAAGGCGAAAAUGAGAGUUCUUGAUGCUCUUUUUUAAAGUUCUCUCUGAUUUAUUAACUUGUGUUGCUUAGUGCUUCAAUUUUAAGGACUUAGUGACAAAAUGAUGCUAUAUUUGUACUAAUGUUUUACUUGUGGGGAAAAUUUGAUGAGUUUUCUACGUUUUUAUUAUGCAAUUCAUAUUGUUUUGCCGGAUGAGAAUGGUGAUGUGGUGGACUUAGACAAAGAUAAUGAGCUACUAUCUUCGAUCUCAAGGAACCUCAUGAUCUCUUGGUCAUUGUUUGAAGCUUGCUCCAAGGGAUUCUAUUUUUCAGUGCUUUAUAAAAAGGAUUUGGUCCAACUAUACAUGUUAUGUUUUCCUCAUUUUGAUUAAUGUAAACAACAUUCAUUCCUAAAUAGGUGGUCACCUUGUGUGAUAUGGCGAUGUCAACUUAUGCAGGUUUUAUAACUUAAGACAACAGAUACUUGAGAGCCUAAAACUUUGGUAGAGUAAGAAGUGUGGACUAGAAACAAAAUUAGAAGUAUAAGGAGUGAAGAGAAAGAUCAAUUUUUAUGACGUAUAAUAAUAUUUUUUCAUUAUUUCAUGACAUAUAAUAUAUGUGUCUUCUUCAAUUGGAAUUUAUUGUAGAUGUGGGAUUUAUAUUAUGGGUGAAAGCUAUAGUAGGUUCUAUA
Molecule: long non-coding RNA, 1352 nt
Organism: Quercus lobata
Lineage: Eukaryota; Viridiplantae; Streptophyta; Magnoliopsida; Fagales; Fagaceae
Exons: 6
Source: RefSeq, a predicted model, not a curated record